UGGGGAAUAUUGGGGCAAUGGGGCGAAAGCCUGACCCAGCAACGCCGCGUGAAGGAAGAAGGUCUUCGGAUUGUAAACUUCUUUUAUCAGGGACGAAGGAAGUGACGGUACCUGAUGAAUAAGCCACGGCUAACUACGUGCCAGCAGCCGCGGUAAUACGUAGGUGGCGAGCGUUGUCCGGAUUUACUGGGUGUAAAGGGCGUGUAGGCGGAUAAGCAAGUCAGAUGUGAAAUGCAGAGGCUUAACCUCUGAGCUGCAUUUGAAACUGCAUAUCUUGAGUGAUGGAGAGGUAAGCGGAAUUCCCGGUGUAGCGGUAAAAUGCGUAGAUAUCGGGAGGAACACCAGUGGCGAAGGCGGCUUACUGGACAUUAACUGACGCUGAGGCGCGAAAGUGUGGGGAGCAAACAGGAUUAGAUACCCUGGUAGU
Molecule: ribosomal RNA, 427 nt
Filed under: uncultured Clostridium sp.
Lineage: Bacteria; Bacillati; Bacillota; Clostridia; Eubacteriales; Clostridiaceae
Description: bacterial SSU rRNA
Rfam family: Bacterial small subunit ribosomal RNA
Source: RNAcentral